GGAGCGAAAUUACCUCGCCGGCAAGGGCCAACCACUAGGAUCUCUCCUGCUAACGGAAGCACACCGACCGAGUUGCAGACUGCCAGAGGCCCGACCACCUGCCUCCCGGCUCAAAAUCCCUGGUGGACCGCCCCUCGCUUCCUCCAAGCCACCCGAUCUGAUCGCCGGAUGAGCCGAAGGCACUCGCAGAAAGUGAUCAGAGAAAUUUCUCACUGCUCCGCCCGCCGUGGGUACCACACUGGUCGGCCGAAGCACAGACAAUCUUCCCCGCCGGACGCCGCUUGGGCACCGCCGACUAGCCGUUAGCUUUCUCUCACUACACCAGAGCUUCUCGCUCUGAAACUAUCCGUUAACAUUCAAUAUGCUUUCCCACGCCCUCCAUCUCUGUGAUGACCUUUCAUGGAGCAGGAGAAAUAAGUGAGGGGCUGACUCCCAUCUCUUUCGAUUCCUGUGUUUCCACCAGCCCCUGAAGGGCCUUGUUCAUUUAC
RNAcentral lists this long non-coding RNA (488 nucleotides) under Phoenix dactylifera (date palm). RNAcentral describes it as "long non-coding RNA (PDAC_LNC014216)". Lineage: Eukaryota; Viridiplantae; Streptophyta; Magnoliopsida; Arecales; Arecaceae. The record is from RNAcentral.